GGAAUUACUGGGCGUAAAGCGCGCGUAGGCGGUUCGUUAAGUCAGAUGUGAAAUCCCCGGGCUCAACCUGGGAACUGCAUUUGAGACUGGCGAGCUAGAGUAUGGCAGAGGGGGGUGGAAUUCCAAGUGUAGCGGUGAAAUGCGUAGAUAUGCGGAGGAACACCGAUGGCGAAGGCGGCCCCCUGGACCAAUACUGACGCUCAUGUGCGAAAGCAUGGGGAGCAAACAGGAUUAA
Molecule: ribosomal RNA, 235 nt
Filed under: uncultured bacterium
Lineage: Bacteria
Description: partial 16S ribosomal RNA
Rfam family: Bacterial small subunit ribosomal RNA
Source: RNAcentral